This 956-nucleotide long non-coding RNA is filed under the name Mustela putorius furo (domestic ferret). RNAcentral describes it as "lncRNA (ENSMPUG00000028814.1)". The record is from RNAcentral. Lineage: Eukaryota; Metazoa; Chordata; Mammalia; Carnivora; Mustelidae.
AGAAGAGCACUGUGGGGAUGGUUUGUCUCUGCUCCGUGACGUCUAGGGCUUUGGCUGGAGGCUGGAACCAUCUGAGUAUCUCUUCACUCACUUGUCUGGUGAUUGAUACUGACCAGGACCUCAAAUGAACUACUGGCUGGGACAUCUGCCUCCCCAUGGCUACUGACUUCUUCAUAGCAUGGUAGCUGGGUUCAAGAGCAAGUGUCCCAAGGGAACAAGACAGAAGCACUUGCCAGUGUAAUGACCCAUAUGAGAAGUCACAUGGCAUCAUUUCUACCAUGGUACCCGUUGAGGCAAUCGCAAAGGUCCAGCGGGCUCAAGGGCAGGGGACAUGGAACCCACCACUCAACAGGACGGUUGCCAAGGUCACAUGGGACCACGAAGUCUUCAAUGGACAUGGCAGGAUGAAGGAAGAUGGUGCUUUUAUCAGCAACAGUCAUGUCUCUGGAGGGGUCUUCUGUGCUUCCUUCCUGUCCCCCUCCCCUCCCCUCUCUCUCCUCUCCUCAAAGCUAGCCACAAAAGACACAUGGGACCUUUGGAAUGUGUAGGGUGGUUUAAUGGAGGUUCUUCUGUAUUUCUCAUGUCAGACUUCCCAACACCUUCACGCUGAGCCUCCCCCCACCUCCCAGGAAACACUACGGCGGGCGGCCAUUUUAGCUCCCUUUUGGGGGAUUAGCAGUAAAUCCUAUAAUUGGCCCUUUGACCAGCUUUUUGACUGUCUUUGGGCUUUUGUUUGUUUGUUUUGCUAGAGACCAAGUCAAGAAUUUAAAUGCUAGUCUUUAAAUUACUCAAUCAUUGUGGUCCAUUUUCUAUUACCUAACCAAACACAAAGUUAACCCAUAACUUAAACUCAACUGUGUCAUGAGAGUCUGUGAAAUGUCUGUUGAUAUUGCUGGUAUUGAAAGAGGCCAGAUGGCCUUCUGCCUGUGCCCCAUGAAGAAGAAGGAAUACUCUAG